RNAcentral lists this ribosomal RNA (253 nucleotides) under uncultured bacterium. RNAcentral describes it as "partial 16S ribosomal RNA". It matches the Rfam family "Bacterial small subunit ribosomal RNA", at positions 524 to 776 of the family's 1533-position model. The record is from RNAcentral.
AACGUAGGACGCAAGCGUUAUCCGGAGUUACUGGGCGUAAAGCGCGGGCAGGCGGUCUUGCCAGUCUGAUGUGAAAUCUCCUCGCUCAACGGGGAGCAGCCAUUGGAAACUACAAGACUGGAGUCUGGCAGAGGUAGGCGGAAUUCCGGAUGGAGUGGUGAAAUGCGUAGAGAUCCGGAGGAACACCAGAGGCGAAGGCGGCCUACUGGGCCAGUACUGACGCUGAGCCGCGAAAGCCAGGGGAGCGAACGGG